UACGUAGGGGGCAAGCGUUGUCCGGAUUUAUUGGGCGUAAAGAGCGUGUAGGCGGCCAUGUAGGUCCGUUGUGAAAACUCGAGGCUCAACCUCGAGACGCCGAUGGAAACCAUGUGGCUAGAGUCCGGAAGAGGAGAGUGGAAUUCCUGGUGUAGCGGUGAAAUGCGCAGAUAUCUGGAGGAACACCGGUGGCGAAGGCGGCAUCCUGGACCGACACUGACGCUGAGGAGCGAAAGCCAGGGGAGCAAACGGG
RNAcentral lists this ribosomal RNA (253 nucleotides) under uncultured bacterium. RNAcentral's name for it is "partial 16S ribosomal RNA". It matches the Rfam family "Bacterial small subunit ribosomal RNA", at positions 524 to 776 of the family's 1533-position model. The record is from RNAcentral.